ACGGGAGGCAGCAGUCGGGAAUAUUGCGCAAUGGAGGCAACUCUGACGCAGCGACGCCGCGUGCAGGAAGAAGGUUUUCGGAUUGUAAACCGCUUUAGACAGGGAAGAAAAAAGACAGUACCUGUAGAAUAAGCUCCGGCUAACUACGUGCCAGCAGCCGCGGUAAUACGUAGGGACCGAGCGUUAUCCGGAUUUAUUGGGUGUAAAGGGUGCGUAGACGGGAAAUUAAGUUAGUUGUGAAAUCCCUCGGCUUAACUGAGGAACUGCAACUAAAACUGAUUUUCUUGAGUACUGGAGAGGAAAGCGGAAUUCCUAGUGUAGCGGUGAAAUGCGUAGAUAUUAGGAGGAACACCAGUGGCGAAGGCGGCUUUCUGGACAGAAACUGACGUUGAGGCACGAAAGUGUGGGGAGCAAACAGGAUUAGAUACCCUGGUA
RNAcentral lists this ribosomal RNA (435 nucleotides) under uncultured Oscillospiraceae bacterium. RNAcentral's name for it is "bacterial SSU rRNA". It matches the Rfam family "Bacterial small subunit ribosomal RNA", at positions 341 to 792 of the family's 1533-position model. The record is from RNAcentral. Lineage: Bacteria; Bacillati; Bacillota; Clostridia; Eubacteriales; Oscillospiraceae.